RNAcentral lists this ribosomal RNA (600 nucleotides) under uncultured bacterium. RNAcentral describes it as "bacterial SSU rRNA". It matches the Rfam family "Bacterial small subunit ribosomal RNA", at positions 852 to 1442 of the family's 1533-position model. The record is from RNAcentral.
UAACCGCACCUAAGCAUUCCGCCUGGGGAGGUACGAUCCGCAAGAUUAAAACUCAAAGGAAUUGACGGGGGCCCCGCACAAGCGGUGGGAGCAUGUGGUUUAAUUCGAAGCAACGCCGAAGAAACCUUACCAGGCCUUUGACAUCCCGGUCGCGGUCUCCCCGAAAGGGAGACUUUCAGUUAGGCUGGACCGGUGACAGGUGCUGCAUGGCUGUCGUCAGCUCGUGUCGUGAGAUGUUGGGUUAAGUCCCGCAACGAGCGCAACCCUCGCCCUUAGUUGCCAUCAUUUAGUUGGGCACUCUAGGGGGACUGCCGGUGAUAAGCCGGAGGAAGGUGGGGAUGACGUCAAGUCCUCAUGGCCCUUACGGCCUGGGCUACACACGUGCUACAAUGGCAGUGACAAUGGGCAGCGAUGGCGCGAGCCUGAGCUAAUCUCAAAAAACUGUCUCAGUUCGGAUUGCACUCUGCAACUCGGGUGCAUGAAGUCGGAAUCGCUAGUAAUCGUGGAUCAGCAUGCCACGGUGAAUACGUUCCCGGGCCUUGUACACACCGCCCGUCACACCAUGGGAGUUGGUUUUACCGAAGGUGGUGCGCUAACCAG